UCUUCGCUAGUAUAUCGGUUAGUAUAACCGCCUCUCAACAGAGAGAGCCUUCAUCCAAAGGAGCAUCGCGGUAGAGCAGGGUUCAACUCCCUGGCGGAGAA
Molecule: transfer RNA, 101 nt
Filed under: Apiotrichum porosum
Lineage: Eukaryota; Fungi; Basidiomycota; Tremellomycetes; Trichosporonales; Trichosporonaceae
Description: tRNA-Glu
Source: RNAcentral